UUGGAGGGCAAGUCUGGUGCCAGCAGCCGCGGUAAUUCUAGCUCCAAUAGCGUAUAUUAAAGUUGUUGCAGUUAAAAAGCUCGUAGUCGAAUUUCGGGAUUGACGUGAUGGUCAUGCCUUAAGGGGUAUGAACUGUUACUGUUGAUUUCUCACCUUCUGGAGAAACUUGAUGUCCUUUAUUGGGUGUCUUGCGGAUCCAGGACCUUUACCUUGAAAAAAUUAGAGUGUUUAAAGCAGGCAUUUUGCUCGAAUACAUUAGCAUGGAAUAAUAGAAUAGGACGGCAUGGUUCUAUUUUGUUGGUUUCUAGGAUCACCGUAAUGAUUAAUAGGGAUAGUUGGGGGCAUUAGUAUUCAAUUGUCAGAGGUGAGAUUCUUGGAUUUAUUGAAGACUAACUACUGCGAAAGCAUUUGCCAAGGAUGUUUUCAUUAAUCAAGAACGAAAGUUAGGGGAUCGAAGACGAUCAGAUACCGUCGUAGUCUUAACCAUAAACUAUGCCGACUAGGAAUCAGACGAUGUUAAUUUUUUAAUGACUCGUUUGGCACCUUACGGGAAACCAAAGUGUUUGGGUUC
RNAcentral lists this ribosomal RNA (571 nucleotides) under uncultured Glomeromycotina. Its description in RNAcentral is "SSU rRNA". It matches the Rfam family "Eukaryotic small subunit ribosomal RNA", at positions 548 to 1114 of the family's 1831-position model. The record is from RNAcentral. Lineage: Eukaryota; Fungi; Glomeromycota.